RNAcentral lists this long non-coding RNA (615 nucleotides) under Monodelphis domestica (gray short-tailed opossum). RNAcentral's name for it is "lncRNA (ENSMODG00000042723.1)". Lineage: Eukaryota; Metazoa; Chordata; Mammalia; Didelphimorphia; Didelphidae. The record is from RNAcentral.
UGUUAUCUGUUGAGGAUAAUAAAAGAGGCCAGCGUCAUUGGAUCACAGACUGGAAACCAACAGUGCCCAAAACAAUUGUAGAGCCAGAAGACUGAAGACUGAAAUUCUCCUUUAUCCUGAUCUCACCAACUCCACUUCAACCCUUAUAUGUUGAUCUCCAUCAACAAGGAGAAAGUGAUGGAGAAUGUAAACUGGAAUGACCUCCAGGAAAUGAUGCAGAGAGAAAGGAGCAGAACCAGGAGAACGUUGUACACAGAGACUGAUACACGGUGGUACAAUCAAAUGUAAUGGACUACUCCAGUAGUGGCAAUGCAGUGAUCCUGAACAAUCCAAAGGGAUCUAUGAGAAAGAACACUAUCCACAUGUUGAGGAAAAACUGUGAGAGUAGAAACAGAAGAAAAACAACUGCUUGAAUACAUGGGUCAAGGGGAUAUGAUUGGGGAUAUCUACUCCAAAGGAACAUCCUAAUGCAAACACCAACAACAUGGAAAUAGGUUCUGAUCAAGGUAAUACCCAGUGGAAUUGCGCGUUGGCUAUGGGAAGGGGGUUAGGGAGGGAAAUAAUAUGAUUCUUGUAACCAAGGAAUAAUGUUCUAAAUAAAAUUACUAAAUAAAU